GACCAGACUCCUACGGGAGGCAGCAGUGGGGGAUAUUGCACAAUGGGGGGAACCCUGAUGCAGCGACGCCGCGUGAGUGAAGAAGUAUUUCGGUAUGUAAAGCUCUAUCAGCAGGGAAGAAAAUGACGGUACCUGACUAAGAAGCCCCGGCUAACUACGUGCCAGCAGCCGCGGUGAUACGUAGGGGGCAAGCGUUAUCCGGAUUUAUUGGGUGUAAAGGGAGCGUAGACGGCAGCACAAGUCUGGAGUGAAAUGCCGGGGCUUAACCCCGGAACUGCUUUGGAAACUGUGCAGCUAGAGUGCAGGAGAGGUGAGUGGAAUUCCUAGUGUAGCGGUGAAAUGCGUAGAUAUUAGGAGGAACACCAGUGGCGAAGGCGGCUUACUGGACUGUAACUGACGUUGAGGCUCGAAAGCGUGGGGAGCAAACAGGAUUAGAUACCCCCGUAC
RNAcentral lists this ribosomal RNA (447 nucleotides) under uncultured bacterium. Its description in RNAcentral is "bacterial SSU rRNA". It matches the Rfam family "Bacterial small subunit ribosomal RNA", at positions 329 to 793 of the family's 1533-position model. The record is from RNAcentral.